RNAcentral lists this ribosomal RNA (182 nucleotides) under uncultured bacterium. RNAcentral describes it as "partial 16S ribosomal RNA". It matches the Rfam family "Bacterial small subunit ribosomal RNA", at positions 173 to 353 of the family's 1533-position model. The record is from RNAcentral.
AUGGCAUCAUGAGUCCGCAUGUUCACAUGAUUAAAGGUAUUCCGGUAGACGAUGGGGAUGCGUUCCAUUAGAUAGUAGGCGGGGUAACGGCCCACCUAGUCUUCGAUGGAUAGGGGUUCUGAGAGGAAGGUCCCCCACAUUGGAACUGAGACACGGUCCAAACUCCUACGGGAGGCAGCAUG